RNA transcript from Ruditapes philippinarum (Manila clam), 3293 nucleotides. RefSeq lists it as uncharacterized. Lineage: Eukaryota; Metazoa; Mollusca; Bivalvia; Venerida; Veneridae. The transcript has 3 exons. The record is from RefSeq and is a predicted model, not a curated record.
GUAAUAAAAAAAAAUCAUAUGACAUUUAUUUAUAUAUCUCUCGUCAUUAUAGCAGCAAAUAAUAUUUUCAUAGAUUAUCCUGAUUCUACUUACAACUAGCAGCAUGUAUCACAUAAACGAUUACUCCCAUAACAUAUCUUUGAGACUGUCAGAAGUCUUAGGUGACAUUGGUGUUAAUGAGACAAUGGUGAUGAAAAGAAGAAAGAUACACAUGUUGAUGGAGACAAUGAAUACCAUCACUAUAAGGUUAAAUGAUAGAAACGAAACAAUAUUUUACCCAGGAAGUCAGAGUGAAGGUUCAACAACACUAGGACUUCACUCUGAUAUUGAUAUUUUACAAUGUUUUAAUAAUUUCAAUGUGAUACAAGACUGGGCUGACUGGAAAAAAGGGAAGACAAAUCUACUGAUGAUACAGGAUAACAAUACAACACCCGGUUACUGUUCUCUACAACAGUUAGGAACUAAUGUACCUCUACCAGUAACUGAUGUUAGAGAUAAAUAUCAUAUUAGAGAUAUAAAUGGAAGAGUACUUUUAAAAAAUGAUAUACAGGAGAGCAUAAUCCCUGAGGGAGGACAAAUACAUGGGCCAUCAAUUGCAACACAAGUGAAAGAUGGAUUUGCUGCAACUGACAGUGCUCUAGCCCUUCUCUGUGUAUCAUGGCCCCGUUCAGCUUUAGAUUGGUUACAUUACCAGGAAUCAGAUGUAUGGCCAACACAAGAAAUAAAGCAAUAUGCUAUUAGCAGUAGUUGUUAUGUCGUUCCUGUUGGCAGCAAAGUUAGUAUUGACUCACAGAUAGAAUGGAGAAUUUCUACAACACUAGCAGAAAGAUGCUUGAUGUUUAAUUUGAACAUUACACAGUUGAGGUGCUAUGUUUUAAUGAAAAUGAUUGUGAAGUCAUAUCUCAAUUUGAAUGGUGAAAACAAUUUGUCUAGUUUUAUGUGUAAAUCGGUUGUUUUGUAUUGUGUAAAGAAUAUUGAAUCAAAAAUGUGGAAAAAAUGUUAUUUAAUGCAGUGUUUAACAAUCUGUUUAUUACAAUUAUAUAACUGUUUACAGAGGGAAGAAUGUCCACACUUUAUAAUAAAAGAAAAUAACUUAAUGGCAGGACAAUUCACAGCUGAUGAAAAAUACAACCUUUUACAAACAAUAAAUCUUUUAGUACAAAAAGGUGGUCUUGGAUUACUUGGUAUUAAAAUUGAUGAUGUCGGUCAAAGACUGAAAAUAAAAUUGAACAUAAUUCCUCAAGCCAUUCAUUACCCACCAUCUAAACUUGAAAUCAGUAAAGAUGUGUCAACUCAUUUAUAUCUUAACUUUUCAAAAAACAAUAAUGAAUUUCAAAAACAUAUCUUGUAUGACACAGAAUCUCUAUCAAUCUGUAUUCAAAGAUUAAUGAAGUACAGUAAAGAAGGAAAUAAACUAGAACAGUCAGCAUGCAGAUUUCUGGCACCUAAAUUGUUCACUACUUUGGGAUCUAUCUUGGCAUCAUCAAGUAUUGGUCAAUCUGGAUCCAUAUCACAUCAGGCUUUAACCUGGUACUCAACAGGCUUGAAAUCAAGUGAUGUGUCAGACAGAUUAAAACUGGCUUCUAUGUUUUAUUGUACUGGAGAUUUUGGAAGAUCUGAAAUUACUUUGAGAAAUAUAGCGCAACAAUUCAAUAAUGAUGUUACAGUUCCUCUUUGUAGCUGCUAUGAAAAUCAUCUUCGAAAGCCAAAUCCAGAUUUUUUUGAAAUAUGCAAUGACCAAAAUGAAUCUUCUCUUCAACAGUAUAUAGCAUAUUGUGUACAAUUCCUGCAAAGUGAAAUAAACUGUGUUCCUCCUGAACUACGAUAUGAAAUGUUCAGAUCUACACAAGAUGAUAUGCGACAUCAUAGAAACGAACAUUUGGACUACUGGAUGUAUUGGGCGGUUGUGGAUUCUCUCCCUUUUCUUCAUUUUUUACAAUACCAAAUUUACAGCCGGCUACAGAAACAUCAGGAUCAACAACAAGCACUGAAUGAUCUCAUAUGGAUCAUUGAUACAAACGAAAAUCUCAGACACAAAGAAACAGACCUCAAUCUUCUUGGACAACUAAUGGAACAAGCAAAUAGACUUCAAGAUGCACUUAAAUGCUAUAUGAUGUCUCUGCAGAUAAGAUCAAGAAACAAUGCCGCACGGUUUCAUGUCUGCAGGCUACUUGCUACCCUUGCUUCCAGAAGAUUCACAUGAACUUUAAUGAAAUGGAAUGUGACUUGUUUUUGCCAAUGCAAAUAUACCCAUGAGUAAUAAAUGGAAAUGUAGUAUAGUGUGCUUAUGCCAACAUUCACAUGAAUUAUAAUGAAAUUGAAUGGUCAGAAAGGCUUUAAAAAUUAUCUCUCAUCUGAUAAAAAAGAGUGGAUAGAGUGGAUAGAGUACAAGCACAUUAAACUAGUAUAAUAUAUAUUUUGUACAAUGAUAGACACCAAGAAUGUUCAAUCAUGCUUGUAUGCUCCUUUUUAAAAACCAGUGAAGUUGGAACAAAAAUGCCUGUGAAAUAAAUUUUAAGGUAUACUCAGAAUUUUAAAUAUACCAGUCACCACAAUUAAACAUUGCCUGUAUAAAACAUUUUCUUAAUUUUUUUUCUAAUUUAGUAGAAGAUGUUUGAUUUUUUAUAUCAAGUCAAAUAAUAUUUUAUAUCUAUUCAUUUAUACUUUAUCUAUUCAUUUAGCUUUUUUUGCAAUGGUCUAACCAAAACAUUGUAGCUUUAAAACUGAAGUUUGAUUGUUUAUUUUGUACAUGAGCAUCACUUGAUCUUCAAAUUGUCCUAAACUUCUUAUUUUUAUAUUUCUUGACCUGUAUAUUGUUUUCAUUGAUAUUGCUUGUUUUGUACAUGUAGAUAGUCUGUUCAAUUUGUGUUAUCUAGAAAAGUUUAGAUAAGUGUUUGGUAUAUAGAUACUAAUAGUUUACGUGUCUUUGAGGCUUUCUAAUUUGCUGUUAAAGACAUUUUAGGGACAUAUAAUAUGGCAAUAUAAAAGUAUAUCCUAUUAUGUAAUAGUCUUUACAGAAGAACUUAUGAAAAACUAGUAUGUAGUGAUUGAUAUUUUCAUACACUUUUUUGUUAAAGUUAUUUAAUUGAUGAAAUUUUUCCAUGAAGAAAUUAAAUAUUACCAGUUGGAAGUUUGAUCAUUAUAUAUAAACUUUAACUUUUAUACAAUAAUGUUUUUCCUUACAACUAACAUAUUUUUACUAAUUACCAAGCAUAGUAAUAUUACUGUCAAAAACCUUUGUAUUAAUCUGUUUGUUUAAUAAUUUGAUUCAGGAAUAAAAUUUGCAACAAUUA